Long non-coding RNA from Manis pentadactyla (Chinese pangolin), 2023 nucleotides. RefSeq lists it as uncharacterized. The transcript is spliced from 4 exons. The record is from RefSeq and is a predicted model, not a curated record. NCBI's taxonomy places the organism in Eukaryota, Metazoa, Chordata, Mammalia, Pholidota, Manidae.
GCAGCAGAGGAUGGGGGUGAAGCUUGUCUGUGCAUGUGUCCUAGGCAUGCCCCCAUGCCCUGAACAGUAUGGUACAGGAAGGAGUUGAGAGCAGGAAGAGAAGGGGGUGGGGUAGUACUGGGAGCUGGGGAUGGGAAGCUGCUCUCCCUGUGAAAUUUCCUGGUGCAGAACUCCGAAUCAAAAUUUUAAGUUCCAAUCUGGCUUUCAGCAUAAGCUUUCUCCAGAAUUGACUCUACAGUGAAGAACAUGGUGGCGCUGACAUUUACUGACAUACAUUGCCCUGCCCUCAGAUCCACACUGAAGAGAAGAAUGAAUGGAUCAGGAUCACAAUGAAAAGAGAUCAGAAAACUGAAGUGUAGAAAGAUGAAAUAACUUGAAAGAUUGCAACACCUCUGGCUACCAUGUGAAGGAAAGGCUGACAGAACAAAAGAGACAGCAGCAAGACUGACUGGGAGGCUGAUAUGCUAAUGCCCAAUGGAUGAGGUAGCUGAAACUAGUUUGCUGGAAAUGAAAAUACAAGAACCUUCCACCCCCAGUUUCCUGGUUCUUGAUGGCUUUCACACGGCAUGGAAGAUAACGAGAAGUUUCCACAUGCUUCUGGUAGAAUUUCAAAGGAAAGCAGCUGCGAACCAGUAGGCUUUCCAUGGGACUAUCUGCUAAAGAAUGAGGUGAUCCCCAAACAGGUAUUUCUAGAUAAACAACCUAAGCUAAGAUCAUUUUGAAGAUACGAUUAGGAUGCUUGGGGAUCUCUAGAUUCAGAAAGUUCUGAGAUGGGGGCAAGUAUACCAUAAGGAAUAAUGAGGCUCUCACCGUGCCUAAAGCAUAGACUGCAAAUUCUCCAGCUAAAGGCUGUAGGCACAGAUGCCAGCAGGAUGCCCAGUGGCCAGGAAAGACAGGGAAAUAGCUGCAACAUUCAGUAAGCACUUAGAGGACAGAACCACAUGUAAACCAGCUCCAAGUUCCUUUUACCAUGAGGACAUGUAAGAUUCCUUCUACUUCCAGGUUGCUGGCCAAAGGGACAUGAAGAUGUAUUGAUAUUUAAGAAAUAGUCCUGAUAACAAGUUUGAACUGUGAAAUUGAUUAUUUAUCAAGUGUGAUUAUUAAAGAAUGUGAUGAUUUUUACCCAAAAAGGAUUGUUUUAAAUUGGAAGAAACUUUGAGAAACCUUCAAUGAAAAAUCAAGAUUUUCUUCAUCUUUUUUUAGAGGAUAAAAUCAUCUGUUAAAAUAAAGAAUAUUGUGCUCUAACUUUUCCAUCUCUGAAUAUGUGCAAAUCCAUUUGAUUAAGUGAGAUGGCAGUUAUUGAAGGCUUCCUCAAGAGCUGCAGCAGAACUCAUUGGGCAGAGGAACCAUAAUAGGGUGAUUUGAGGAGUGAGAAGAUGAGGAAAUGGAGGCAGCAAGAGAAAUGUGGCUGUUUAGGGUCGUUAAAGUUAGGAAAUGUACUUGAGGGUAUGGAAGAAAGGAUUCUAUUUAUUUUGGCAAAAAAAACAAUGAAUUUAAAUGUUGAUGAGAGAGAUCAGAAAAGAGAAAGAGUGGAAAUUGAAGAAAAAGAAGGAAAUUAAUGGAGAAUAUAGAAAAUAAAUACAGUAGAAAAAAUACAGGGGUAUGUCUAACUGACUCCAAGGAGAGAAUGGCCUUUAUAAACAAUACCAAAGAAAGGAAACUACAAGCAGCAUUAACAGCAGACUUCUUGUAUGCAUCAGAAAUCACCUGAUAUAAAAUUUAAAAGACUAUAGAUAGCUUUACUAUAUAAUAAGAUUUCAAGACUCAAGAAAAUGUGUAAGCAUGUACAUCAAAAAAUUUACAGGGGAUAUACACUUAUAACUCACAAAAGAAUGCAAACCAAUUGAUAGAAAGAUGAUGUUCAACUUCGCUAUUAAAAAAUGCAAAUUAAAACAAUAAGAAACAAUCUUGCUUAUUAAAUUAGAAAAGAUAAAAAUUAGACCAUCUGUUUAUUUCCUUUGUAAUACUUAAAACAGUGUAGAACUAAUUUAUAAGCUGGUCUGUUCAUUUACUUCAGUUUUUA